GAAUUAUUAGUGCCUCUAAAUCUCUAAUGUACAAACAUUGUAAUCUGUUACUUAAUACCAUAAAGAAACUGUUGAUAGCACAUAUAUUAAAUGACUAUUAAUCAAAUGAACUUAAUUUUCGACUAUUAUAUAGCAUAUUUCCCCCAAUAUUGAGGGAAUAAUUUCUCGUAUUUAUUUUAUAAUAAGCCAAUAUUGCCCAACUGUGAAGUAAAUAUUGCCUGACUGUGAAGUAAAUAUUGCCCGACUGGCCUAGUCUGCCCAACAAUUGGGCCACGCCCUGUACGCCUAUGGCCAGACCUACAGGUAGACCCCCAACCAGAUCGGUCACAAUUUCUCUUGCUCCAAAAUUUCCCCUCCCCAUGUACAAGGAUUGACAAUUUGACAGCUUGAUUAGAUUUGAAAAAAAAUAUGUUAUAUUGGGUCAUUCCAGAAAACACCCAUACCACCCUGACAAAGGAAAUUGAAAGUUAAUCCCUCCUACCCCUUUGGAUGUCCUAAUACAUUUACUAUUAUCAGAAACAAUUUUUCCCCCUCCCCCUCCAGACGGCAGAAAUUUCCUCUGUGGGGGGAGUGUGGAUCUUUUCUGGAACAACCCAUUUGAGAAAUGCCUUUGCACAAAUUUUAAAUUUUCUUACAAACACAACUCAUCACUAUGUCAGAAUACUGUUCUAAGUAAUUGCAACUAAAAUCCAGAGGUUUAAAAGGCUCAAG
Molecule: non-coding RNA, 711 nt
Organism: Paramuricea clavata
Lineage: Eukaryota; Metazoa; Cnidaria; Anthozoa; Malacalcyonacea; Plexauridae
Source: the annotation of a GenBank genome assembly